This 64-nucleotide transfer RNA is filed under the name Thermococcus sp. Its description in RNAcentral is "tRNA-Met". It matches the Rfam family "tRNA", at positions 14 to 71 of the family's 71-position model. From Rfam's summary of the family: Transfer RNA (tRNA) molecules are approximately 80 nucleotides in length. Lineage: Archaea; Methanobacteriati; Methanobacteriota; Thermococci; Thermococcales; Thermococcaceae. The record is from RNAcentral.
AGUCAGGUAGCUCGUUGGGCUCAUAACCCAAAGGUCGUGGGUUCAAAUCCCACCCCCGCUACCA